This 234-nucleotide ribosomal RNA is filed under the name uncultured bacterium. RNAcentral's name for it is "partial 16S ribosomal RNA". It matches the Rfam family "Bacterial small subunit ribosomal RNA", at positions 57 to 305 of the family's 1533-position model. The record is from RNAcentral.
GCAAGUCGAGCGCGCCCUUCGGGGUGAGCGGCGGACGGGUGAGUAACGCGUAAGAAUCUACCUGGUAGUGGGGGACAACAUGGUGAAAACCAUGCUAAUACCGCAUACGCCCCAAGGGGGAAAGCGGGGGAUCUUCGGACCUCGUGCUAUUGGAUGAGCCUGCGUAGGAUUAGCUUGUUGGUGAGGUAAAAGCUCACCAAGGCGACGAUCCUUAGCUGGUCUGAGAGGAUGAUC